UGGGGAAUAUUGCACAAUGGGCGAAAGCCUGAUGCAGCGACGCCGCGUGAGGGAUGACGGCCUUCGGGUUGUAAACCUCUUUCAGCAGGGACGAAGCGCAAGUGACGGUACCUGCAGAAGAAGCACCGGCUAACUACGUGCCAGCAGCCGCGGUAAUACGUAGGGUGCAAGCGUUGUUCGGAUUUACUGGGCGUAAAGGGCGCGUAGGCGGCAUGACAAGUCACUUGUGAAAUCUCUGGGCUUAACCCAGAACGGCCAAGUGAUACUGUCGCGCUAGAGUGCAGAAGGGGCAAUCGGAAUUCUUGGUGUAGCGGUGAAAUGCGUAGAUAUCAAGAGGAACACCUGAGGUGAAGACGGGUUGCUGGGCUGACACUGACGCUGAGGCGCGAAAGCCAGGGGAGCAAACGGGAUUAGAUACCCUCGUAGUCCCUGAGCGGGCUGGCAAGGCGCAU
This 452-nucleotide ribosomal RNA is filed under the name uncultured bacterium. Its description in RNAcentral is "bacterial SSU rRNA". It matches the Rfam family "Bacterial small subunit ribosomal RNA", at positions 355 to 825 of the family's 1533-position model. The record is from RNAcentral.